UACAGAGGUCUCAAGCGUUGUUCGGAUUCAUUGGGCGUAAAGGGUGCGUAGGCGGCGCGGUAAGUCGGGUGUGAAAUCUCGGAGCUUAACUCCGAAACUGCAUUCGAUACUGCCGUGCUUGAGGACUGGAGAGGAGACUGGAAUUUACGGUGUAGCGGUGAAAUGCGUAGAUAUCGUAAGGAAGACCAGUGGCGAAGGCGGGUCUCUGGACAGUUCCUGACGCUGAGGCACGAAGGUCAGGGGAGCGAACGGG
This 253-nucleotide ribosomal RNA is filed under the name uncultured bacterium. Its description in RNAcentral is "partial 16S ribosomal RNA". It matches the Rfam family "Bacterial small subunit ribosomal RNA", at positions 524 to 776 of the family's 1533-position model. The record is from RNAcentral.